This 884-nucleotide ribosomal RNA is filed under the name uncultured bacterium. RNAcentral's name for it is "bacterial SSU rRNA". It matches the Rfam family "Bacterial small subunit ribosomal RNA", at positions 57 to 933 of the family's 1533-position model. The record is from RNAcentral.
GCAAGUCGAGGGGCAGCAUGGUCUUAGCUUGCUAAGGCCGAUGGCGACCGGCGCACGGGUGAGUAACGCGUAUCCAACCUGCCUUACACUCUUGGACAGCCUUCUGAAAGGGAGAUUAAUACAAGAUGUUAUCAUGAGUAAGCAUUUUCGCAUGAUUAAAGGUUUACCGGUGUAAGAUGGGGAUGCGUUCCAUUAGAUAGUAGGCGGGGUAACGGCCCACCUAGUCUUCGAUGGAUAGGGGUUCUGAGAGGAAGGUCCCCCACAUUGGAACUGAGACACGGUCCAAACUCCUACGGGAGGCAGCAGUGAGGAAUAUUGGUCAAUGGACGAGAGUCUGAACCAGCCAAGUAGCGUGAAGGAUGAAGGUUCUAUGGAUUGUAAACUUCUUUUAUACGGGAAUAAACGGAUCCACGUGUGGAUUUUUGCAUGUACCGUAUGAAUAAGGAUCGGCUAACUCCGUGCCAGCAGCCGCGGUAAUACGGAGGAUCCGAGCGUUAUCCGGAUUUAUUGGGUUUAAAGGGAGCGUAGAUGGGUUGUUAAGUCAGUUGUGAAAGUUUGCGGCUCAACCGUAAAAUUGCAAUUGAUACUGGCAGUCUUGAGUACAGUUGAGGUAGGCGGAAUUCGUGGUGUAGCGGUGAAAUGCUUAGAUAUCACGAAGAACUCCGAUUGCGAAGGCAGCUUACUAACCUGUAACUGACAUUGAUGCUCGAAAGUGUGGGUAUCAAACAGGAUUAGAUACCCUGGUAGUCCACACGGUAAACGAUGAAUACUCGCUGUAGGCGAUAUACAGUCUGCGGCCAAGCGAAAGCAUUAAGUAUUCCACCUGGGGAGUACGCCGGCAACGGUGAAACUCAAAGGAAUUGACGGGGGCCCGCACAAGCGGA